CCAGCGCCCCCAUCGCCGGCUCCUGCCCCUGCUCCUGGUGACUGACCAGGAGCAUAUACACCCAAGGUGCAAUUACAACACAAAAUCAAAUAGGAAGCUACCUGCGAAAAGGAAUUUCUUGAGAAUGGGUGAUAAGGCGGAUUGGGGUGAUACUUUUUUAAGGCAUUUGAUUGAUGCUUGCAAAGAAGAGAUUGAAGCAGGGA
Setaria italica (foxtail millet) is the source of this 203-nucleotide long non-coding RNA. RefSeq lists it as uncharacterized. The record is from RefSeq and is a predicted model, not a curated record. NCBI's taxonomy places the organism in Eukaryota, Viridiplantae, Streptophyta, Magnoliopsida, Poales, Poaceae. The transcript is spliced from 3 exons.